RNAcentral lists this ribosomal RNA (786 nucleotides) under uncultured bacterium. RNAcentral describes it as "bacterial SSU rRNA". It matches the Rfam family "Bacterial small subunit ribosomal RNA", at positions 577 to 1364 of the family's 1533-position model. The record is from RNAcentral.
GGAUAAAUAAGUCAGUGGUGAAAGUCUGCAGCUCAACUGUAGAAUUGCCAUUGAUACUGUUUAUCUUGAGUUAUUAUGAAGUGGUUAGAAUGAGUAGUGUAGCGGUGAAAUGCAUAGAUAUUACUCAGAAUACCGAUUGCGAAGGCAGAUCACUAAUAAUCGACUGACGCUGAUGGACGAAAGCGUAGGUAGCGAACAGGAUUAGAUACCCUGGUAGUCUACGCCGUAAACGAUGGUUACUAGCUGUUCGGCCUAAUUGAGGGCUGAGUGGUUAAGCGAAAGUGAUAAGUAACCCACCUGGGGAGUACGUUCGCAAGAAUGAAACUCAAAGGAAUUGACGGGGGCCCGCACAAGCGGUGGAGCAUGUGGUUUAAUUCGAUGAUACGCGAGGAACCUUACCAGGGCUUAAAUGUAGUCUGACAGGGCUGGAAACAGCUUUUUCUUCGGACAGAUUACAAGGUGCUGCAUGGUUGUCGUCAGCUCGUGCCGUGAGGUGUCAGGUUAAGUCCUAUAACGAGCGCAACCCCUGUGGUUAGUUGCCAGCGAGUCAAGUCGGGAACUCUAGCCAGACUGCCGGUGCAAACCGCGAGGAAGGUGGGGAUGACGUCAAAUCAUCACGGCCCUUACGUCCUGGGCCACACACGUGCUACAAUGGUAGGGACAGAGAGCAGCCACUUCGCGAGAAGGAGCGAAUCUAUAAACCCUAUCACAGUUCGGAUCGCAGUCUGCAACUCGACUGCGUGAAGCUGGAAUCGCUAGUAAUCGGAUAUCAGCCAUGAUCCGGUG